RNAcentral lists this small nucleolar RNA (94 nucleotides) under Hordeum vulgare. RNAcentral describes it as "Small nucleolar RNA Z103". It matches the Rfam family "Small nucleolar RNA Z103". From Rfam's summary of the family: This family consists of several snoRNA Z103 sequences which are members of the C/D class of snoRNA which contain the C (UGAUGA) and D (CUGA) box motifs. RNAcentral also lists the same sequence under 1 other name. Lineage: Eukaryota; Viridiplantae; Streptophyta; Magnoliopsida; Poales; Poaceae. The record is from RNAcentral.
AUGGACUUGAGGAUACUUUCCCCAAAUUAUCGACUAUGACUAUACAAUGCGCAAAUGUAAUCCACCAGGAUUCCAAGCCAGAAAUCUGAUCCAU